CCGCCCAUGUUCAACCCAUAUAUUUUUGAAAAUAAUGUAAAAAAUUGAAUCAAUAUUCCAUUUUUCUCUCAAAUUUCAGACACUAUCUCUCAUCAAAAUGUUUUUUCCUAAUUCAAUUAAAAUUUAUUGAUUAAAACAACCCAAAAGAGAGUUACAAAAUUAGAAGAUAUCAAUCAUAAAAAAAGGUACCCUAAAAUCAAAACACUUACCUAAAACAGAAGGAAUAAAAAUAGAAUCUUCAAC
This 243-nucleotide long non-coding RNA is filed under the name Gossypium raimondii (Peruvian cotton). RNAcentral's name for it is "long non-coding RNA (GRAI_LNC010195)". The record is from RNAcentral. Lineage: Eukaryota; Viridiplantae; Streptophyta; Magnoliopsida; Malvales; Malvaceae.